GGGGCCGUAGCUCAGUUGGGAGAGCGCUUGCAUGGCAUGCAAGAGGUCGUCGGUUCGAUCCCGAUCGGCUCCA
RNAcentral lists this transfer RNA (73 nucleotides) under Phycisphaera sp. TMED9. RNAcentral describes it as "tRNA-Ala". It matches the Rfam family "tRNA". From Rfam's summary of the family: Transfer RNA (tRNA) molecules are approximately 80 nucleotides in length. Their secondary structure includes four short double-helical elements and three loops (D, anti-codon, and T loops). RNAcentral also lists the same sequence under 8 other names. The record is from RNAcentral. Lineage: Bacteria; Pseudomonadati; Planctomycetota; Phycisphaerae; Phycisphaerales; Phycisphaeraceae.